UAGAUUCCAGAGGUUGAUGUAUUAGCCACCGCAACUUAAGGUCUAACAAUUGUAAUGACACAUUUGAGGAACAUUUCAAGAGGCUUGUUUGAAUGAAGAUAACCUGCUUGGCUUAGCGGCUCGCCUCAGUCCGGGUGGUGGAGGACGAAUCUCAGUUGCCAUCAACCCACGUCAAACCACGCAUCUUAUCACGCGGCUUGUUGAGCGCGUUACCACGGAGACAUAGCAUGCGUGGGGGCUUCCCACCAUCCACCACGGCAUCCAUCCACAACUCACCACGCGCCCCACCGAGAGCGAGAACCACAACGAGGUUACAUGUGACUUUACCCUGCCUAACCUGACAAAUUUGGUUGCUUGGGAGACCUGGCUGGAGACACUCAGCAUUACCUGGAUUCAAACUCACGAACUCCAGGAGUGAUAAGUCAGCGUAUUUACUCGCUGAGCUAUCCAGGCCCCGUGGAAAAUAAUUUAUUUUUAAAUACAUUUUCCCUGCAUAGAUUUUAAAGCUUUAAAACCUACAGACACACACAUGAUACAUUUUAAGGAAGACUGUUUUAUUGUUCAACUAAAUCCAUUUGUUUACUUCCAGUGCACUUUUAUCUGUUUAGUCCAGUGCCCUUAGAUAUUCCCUGUUGUUGUAGGAAGGAGAGAUAGAAAUAGAUAAGAUAGAAGAUAGAAAUGGACAGAGAAUUUUAUAUAUAUAUAUAUAUAUAUAUAUAUAUAUAUAUAUAAAACUGAGGACAAAAUAUUUUUACAAACCUUUAAAUAUAGUCAGAAUUAACAAGGCUAUAACAACUUUGAAACUGCACCAUGAACUCCUGAAAGUUAAACACAUGCAACAAGCCAAUAAUAUUUACUUUAGGAGAAUGAGAUGGGAGUGGGGUGUCAGAUGAAGACUUAAAACAUCUGUAAGAAAGGGGCCUGGGUAGCUCAGAGAGUAAAGAUGCUGACUACCACCCCUGGAGUUGCGACUUUGAAUCCAGGGCAUGCUGAGUGACUCCAGCCAGGUCUCCUAAGCAACCAUAUUGUCCUGGUUGCUGGGUAGAGUCACGAUGGGGUAACCUCCUUGUGGUCGCUAUAAUGUGGUUCGCUCUCGGUGGGGCACAUGGUGAGUUGUGCGUGGAUGCUGCGGUGGAUGGCGUGAAGCCUCCACACACGCUAUGUCUCUGUGGUAACGUGCUCAACGAGCCACGAGAUAAGACGCACAGAUUGACGGUCUCUGAGGCGGAGGCAACUAAGAUUUGUCCUCUGCCACCCAGAUUGAGGCGAGUCACUACGCCACCACGAGGACUUAGAUCACAUUGGGAAUUGGGCAUUCUAAAUUGGGGUGAAAAGGGGGAGGAAAAAAAAACAUCUGUAAGAUUCUUUAAAAUUAACAUGCACUCUAUUCCUGUGUAUCAUAUUAAGUUUGUGUAAUUAAACAAUUAUCAAAAUAUUAGAACCACGCUUGGAUUCAAUACAUGUGAAGCUCAAUCGACAGUAUUUGUGACAUAAUAUUGAUUUCCACAAAAGUGUCUCCAGUGAGGCACUUACAAUGGAAGUGAAUGGGGGCCCAUUUUUGACCGUUAAAAUACUCACGGUUUCAAAAGUAUAGCCAAUAGACAUAAACAAUCUGUGUGUCAACAUGAUUUUAGAGUGAUAAAAUCACUUCCUAACCUUUUCUAUGUAAAGUUAUAGCCAAUUAUACUACUUUGUUUCUAUGACGAUGUAAUGCCAACAAACCCUGAUAUGAAUACAAUUUAAACAACUUUACUGCUCAAAUAAUACAUGAGUUUUAACAAGAUGAAAUGUAAGUGAUUUUAUAAUAUUAUAAGCUUCACAUUUCUGCCUUUUAAACCGUUGAAAAAUUGGCCCCAUUGACUUCCAUUGUAAAUACCUCAUUGCACAGGCGUAGAUUUAGGUUGGGAUGAUAGGAACAUGUCCCUACCAACUUUCAGAAAAUCGAAAAUGUUCCGACCAGCAUUUUGCCAUUUUUACCACUUUUUAUUUUCAUUUUAAUGACUAUUAAAAAUUCUCAGUAUCAUUAUUUAUGGUCCAACAUUUUGUGAAGCAGCGCAUAAACAGCAUUGUCGCUUAGCACCGGUUACUUUUCUCAGCACUGUUCAGGAUGCAUGAAUCACAAGUUGUUUGUGAUUUACUGUAUAUUUUAAUCAUUUUCUGGAGAUUAC
This is an RNA transcript of Xyrauchen texanus (razorback sucker), 2168 nucleotides long. It is a transcript of the gene named gastrula zinc finger protein XlCGF52.1-like, with no coding region annotated. The transcript is spliced from 2 exons. NCBI's taxonomy places the organism in Eukaryota, Metazoa, Chordata, Actinopteri, Cypriniformes, Catostomidae. The record is from RefSeq and is a predicted model, not a curated record.